CAGACGAUCAAAUACUCCAAUAUUCUCUGCACUUUCCACCAUUAAUUGGUAGUACGUCCACCCCAUUUGCAUAGUCUCCAGGACAACCAAAUACUCCAAUUGUUGCUUGCUUUGCAUCGUCCUGAAAUAGGAUCGGUGUUUAAAGUUUGUCUCGACCAAGUCUUCUAUGGAGGAAGAAGUUAACCUAGAUCAACGGAUAAUCAUUGGUUAAUUCCAGAAGAUAUAUUGUGGGGCUAAAAGAUUUUCCUUAAUUUCUAUUGGACGAAAUUUUAAAUGGUGAGGCCAGAAUCAACCAGAGGCUCGGGUUAACCACAACGCUUGAAAAAACUCUAUUUUUAUAUAGAGAAUUUUUUAAAAAUGAGUUAGACGUCCACUUCCAUCUGGUAUUAUGCUAUAGAAUGCACAAAUCAUUCUUGCGGAUAAAAAGAAAUAUCCAAAAAUAGUCGAAGUGCCGAAGGUUUUUCCACGCCCUUUUUGGAUGGCGUAGAAAAUGAAAUUUCUUUCUUUAUUUUGCCACCGGUUUUGUGGUAAGUAGCGUGUUUUAUAUUUUAGACAAGAUAUAUGCGUCGUAUGAAGUGAUGUGCGAGCAACAAGUAGAACUGCAAAAUCUUGCGCGCUUAUAUGCUCCGCUAAUUUUUACGGCAUGUACAAUAUGCGCCUAUUCCUUCAUGAUUGAUGGCUUAACAAUCAUAUUAGCAUCUUUUCCAUCAGAAGACAUCAUGCUUGGAGUAUCCAUAAACGUAUGGGUUUGUGAGAGAAAAUCACAAGUUAAACUCAACAAGCAGUUUUGAGAUAAAAAGAGGUUUCAGGGAAGGAAAAAGGAAUGUAGGGUUACGCAACCUUUUAACAGGUUCAUGCACACACAACUCUGAACCCUGGAGAGAGUAUAAUUGUACAAAAUAACCCUUUCUUUUAUUGAUAGACAAGGAAGAACAAAAACUAAGAAAAAAAGAAAAAAAGACUUUUCCUAAAACCUGAGAGGUACACAAACUUGUCUCUUUUGAUCAGGUACAUGAGACAAGAUUUACAAAUCAACACAAUCAAGUUGUGUUGCGGUGAACAACAAUUUAUCCACCAUGCUCCUCUUGAGAG
Papaver somniferum (opium poppy) is the source of this 1092-nucleotide long non-coding RNA. RefSeq lists it as uncharacterized. The transcript is spliced from 4 exons. Lineage: Eukaryota; Viridiplantae; Streptophyta; Magnoliopsida; Ranunculales; Papaveraceae. The record is from RefSeq and is a predicted model, not a curated record.